RNAcentral lists this unclassified non-coding RNA (1497 nucleotides) under Caenorhabditis elegans. RNAcentral's name for it is "Non-coding transcript of protein-coding gene lin-17". Lineage: Eukaryota; Metazoa; Nematoda; Chromadorea; Rhabditida; Rhabditidae. The record is from RNAcentral.
GCUUCAAACCCACACGGAGCACUUCAAGCCGUUGAUGAAAACAAAAUGCCAUCCACACAUUCACUUCUUCAUUUGCUCCGUUUUUGCUCCAAUGUGCCCGAUUGGAAUGCCACAGGCCGUGACAAGCUGCAAAUCCGUUUGCGAGCAAGUGAAAGCGGAUUGCUUCUCGAUAUUGGAAGAAUUCGGGAUUGGAUGGCCGGAGCCGCUGAAUUGUGCACAAUUCCCAGAUCCACCGGAGCUUUGCAUGAAGCCUACGGAAGACGAGAUAACUGGAGGAUUUUCGGCUCCCCGGCUGCCUACAAAAGGCUCGAGCUCAUCAUCCUCCAAGCCAACCGGGUGCCCCAGUGACCUUGUCGAUGUGGAUCCACACGAUCCCAAGUCGCAUUGUGCAUUCGCGUGCCAGUCGAAUGUGAUGUUUAGUACGGAUAAUAAGCGUAUGGUACGUUCAUGGUCAAUUUGGUUUGCCGCCGCAAACGCCGGCGUUGCUCUUUUCUCCUUCUUGACGUUCGCCAUCGACCGAAAGCGAUUCCGUUUCCCGGAGAGAUGCGUCUUCUACCUAUCCCUGUGCAUCUUCAUCUCCUCCCUCCCAUACCUCACGCCACUCUUCAUCGAUGCUCCGAUCCGAUCCUGCCACGCACUUGGAAACGGGCGGUCAUACCUGUCAAUCGGAACAUUUGACAAUUCAUAUUGUCUUGCCUCAUUCCUUCUUAACUACUUCUUCAGUACAGCGGCUGCCCUUUGGUGGUUAAUGUUCUCAUUUACACUGUAUUUGAGCGGUGGAAGGAAAUGGGUGCCAGAAGGUAUCGAAGCAUGCAGUAGUUAUGUGCAUUUUGUUGCCUGGGGAUUGUCGUCGCUGGCCACGAUUAUUGUGCUCAUUUUCAACAAAGUCGACGCGAGUGAGCUCACCGCUCUUUGCUCCGUUGGGAAUUUGAAUUCGAUUGCGUUGCUCUGGUUUGUGAUUGUUCCCCGAACUAUUUGCAUUGUUAUUGGAACAUGUUUUAUUGUUGGAGGAUUUGCGAGCAUGUGCAGAGAGAGAAUUAGUUUCAGAACAAGGGGCACAGACACAUCGAAAUUGGAGAAACUAAUGGUGAAAAUGGGCUUCUUCUGUGCUUUAUUCAUCCUUCCCAACGUCAUCGAACUUGUCUGUCAAUGCUAUAAAUUCAUGAUUCUCACCCAAUGGACCCGAAUGACAAUUGACUGUAAACAACAGUCAGGUGCAUGUCAUCGGCCGACACCGCCGCAGGCUGAAAUUUACAUGACCGCCGUAAUUUCCAGUCUCGCCACAGGAUUCUCGUGUCUGAUGUGGGUGUUGUCGGCGAAGACCGUCCACGCCUGGAAGAACUUCAUCUUCUGUGGAAUGUGCUCGUCGGCGCCGGUUAAAAACCCAAUCGAGCCAUCAACACGUCCAUUGCUCGAGCCACCAACUGCUCCGCCACCACAACCACCGGUAUACAUGCAAAUGGCGACGAAUCCUCAGAAUUCAUGGAGACCCAGUAA